Molecule: long non-coding RNA, 604 nt
Organism: Hibiscus syriacus
Lineage: Eukaryota; Viridiplantae; Streptophyta; Magnoliopsida; Malvales; Malvaceae
Exons: 5
Source: RefSeq, a predicted model, not a curated record
AAAUAUUUAUUCUGUUAAAAAUGUGUGUAUCCGAUUUAGGUAAAUCUAUAUUUCUACAUUUCUCCCCAAACCAGCUCUAAUCGGUGGAUAGCGAGUCAGAUUUUACUUCUGGUUUCACUGGGAGGUAGUGCAAAACACUCCUGUAGUAGAAAACGAGUCGACCAAUGGAGGAAGAUACAGUAAAGAAUGAGGACGAGGAAUUUAACACUGGACCAGUCUGUUCUGAUGAUGAGUGUUAAAGAUAACACUCAGGUAAUGUGCCCAUCUUUUGAUUCCCUGGCAUCAUCAAUAACUACAUGUUGGUUGAUAGUGAGAAACAGCUAUGCAGUGAGAUCAGAAUACUGCCUGCACAUUCUCUCUCAAUGUUGCAAACCUUAUCAAUUGAGAUUAUGAAGGGAAAUAUUAGCAAGAAAUCUGAUGCUCGCAACCUGCUUAAAGUUGAAGCAAGCAAGGUGGAUAAAGUCUAUGAUAUGUUGGUGAAAAAGGGGUUGUCCAAUUUUGAUCAAAAUUCAGCAUCUCCAUUGUUGUAGAUUGAAAUUGUACAGAUCUAUUAACAUAGGUAAACACGCUAAUUGUAUUGUUCAUUAAUGAUACAAUUUAUCAU